CGCCCCCAAAAAACAAAAUUGAUUGACAAAAAUUCUGAACAGAUGUUGAAUUUACUUGCAUAAUAAAAUGAUGCAAGAGAGUGGGAAAGGGAGAUACUCGAAUGGUAAUCAUCUCCCAACAAUCAUUGUAACUGUCACAUCAUUUGAGGAUACAAUUUCCUGACCUUCAGGAUAGAUUUCAGAUGUAUCUAUGGAGGCUCUCAUUGAAGUGUAAGUGGGUUGCCUAGGCAAUGGCAGGGUUGGACUACUGCUUUCUAGCAUUAAAAUCACAGAUGACAUGGUUGGUCUAUGAACCGCAGAAUCUUGCACACACAACAUCCCUACUUGUAUGCAUUUUAAUACUUCAUUCUUGCAACACGAAUCUCGAAUCAAUGGAUCAACAAGCUCCAUUGCUUUAUCUUCAUGCCAAAGUUCCCAUGCAUAAGCGAUGAGGCUGACAUGAUCGGUUAAACGAAAGCUGGUGUUCCUCCGGCCACUUACAAUCUCUAAUAGUAACACUCCAAAGCUAUAGACAUCAGAUUUCACUGAAAAUAAGCCUUCCAUUGCAUAUUCAGG
RNAcentral lists this unclassified non-coding RNA (555 nucleotides) under Hevea brasiliensis (rubber tree). Lineage: Eukaryota; Viridiplantae; Streptophyta; Magnoliopsida; Malpighiales; Euphorbiaceae. The record is from RNAcentral.